UUCGAUUAAGCCAUGCGAGUCGAGAGUCUUAGGGACUCGGCGUACCGCUCAGUAACACGUGGGUAACCUGCCCUAUGCUGGGGAAUAACCUCGGGAAACUGAGAAUAAUGCCCCAUAGUCCACCAUGCCUGGAACGGUUGGUGGAUCAAAGCUCCGGCGGCAUAGGAUGGGCCUGCGGCGUAUCAGGUUGUAGGGGGUGUAAUGUACCCUCUAGCCAUCAACGCGUACGGGUGUUGGGAGACAUAGCCCGGAGAUGGAUUCUGAGACACGAAUCCAGACCCUACGGGGUGCAGCAGGCGCGAAAACUUGGCAAUGCGAGCAAUCGUGACCAGGGAACUCCAAGUGGCUGGGGUAAGACCCAGUCUUUUCUUGACUCUUCAAAGGUCUUGGAAUAAGGGGUGGGUAAGGACGGUGCCAGCCGCCGCGGUAAUACCGGCGCCUCAAGUGGUAGUCGAUUUUAUUGGGCCUAAAACGUCCGUAGCCUGUUUGGUACAUUCGUGGGUAAAUCAACCAGCUCAACUGAUUGAAUUCUGCGAGCACGGCCAGACUUGGGACCGGGAGAGGUGUGGGGUACGCUCAGGGUAGGGGUAAAAUCCUGUCAUCCUGAGCGGACCACCUGUUGCGAAGGCGCCACACUAGAACGGAUCCGACGGUCAGGGACGAAGCCUAGGGGCACGAACCGGAUUAGAUACCCGGGUAGUCCUAGGUGUAAACGCUGUGGACUUGGUGUUGGGGAUUCUCCGAGGAUUCUCAGUGCCGAAGCGAAGGUGAUAAGUCCACUGCCUGGGGAGUACGGUGGCAAGGCUGAAACUUAAAGGAAUUGGCGGGGGAGCACCGCAACCUGAGGAUUGUGCG
Molecule: ribosomal RNA, 855 nt
Filed under: uncultured archaeon
Lineage: Archaea
Description: bacterial SSU rRNA
Rfam family: Archaeal small subunit ribosomal RNA
Source: RNAcentral